GAUGAAAACUCAGCGAAAUGCGAUAAGUAGUGUGAAUUGCAGAAUUCAGUGAAUCAUCGAAUCUUUGAACGCACAUUGCGCCCCUUGGUAUUCCAUGGGGCAUGCCUGUUCGAGCGUCAUUUGUACCUUCAAGCUCUGCUUGGUGUUGGGUGUUUGUCUCGCCUCUGCGUGUAGACUCGCCUCAAAACAAUUGGCAGCCGGCGUAUUGAUUUCGGAGCGCAGUACAUCUCGCGCUUUGCACUCAUAACGACGACGUCCAAAAGUACAUUUUUACACUCUUGACCUCGGAUCAGGUAGGGAUACCCGCUGAACUUAAGCAUAUCAAUAAGCGGAGGA
RNAcentral lists this unclassified non-coding RNA (336 nucleotides) under soil metagenome. RNAcentral describes it as "partial contains 5.8S ribosomal RNA, internal transcribed spacer 2, and large subunit ribosomal RNA". The stretch from base 1 to 119 matches the Rfam family "5.8S ribosomal RNA", at positions 35 to 154 of the family's 154-position model. The record is from RNAcentral.